ACUGUUUACAUCUUACCGGGCAGCAUUAGAUUGAUUUUAAGUAAUUCUAAUACUGUCAGGUAAUGAUGUCCUCAGGC
This 77-nucleotide microRNA precursor is filed under the name Pediculus humanus corporis (human body louse). RNAcentral's name for it is "microRNA, putative". It matches the Rfam family "mir-8/mir-141/mir-200 microRNA precursor family". From Rfam's summary of the family: The bounds of the precursors are predicted based on conservation and base pairing and are not generally known. The record is from RNAcentral. Lineage: Eukaryota; Metazoa; Arthropoda; Insecta; Psocodea; Pediculidae.